CUAGCCUGGUCAGAAAGCGACAGUCUGCUUCUUCAGAGCUGGUAAUUCAGCUAAUAUUUGCUUUUCCUCCUCCGGUGUUUUUCAUGUCACUGCAAACCGAGGAUACUUGACGAAACAAGACACCGGAGGCUCCGACAAACUGCAGAGCCAAAGUAAAAAGCCAACGAGAAAACUAAAAUGGACGCAGCACUUUACCUGCCACAAACCGGAUUUAAACAUAAGACUUUUAUCUGAAUGCAGUUUACCAGCAGGGGGCAGCAGCGCUCGAUGCUCAGCGAUCCAGGGUUUCACCCGGUAAAAAAACUUCCUCUCCGACCUGCCAGGUGCGGUAACAACUGGACACAGCUGGGAUUUGGAUUCAACUUUUUUUUUCAUCCAGUUCAGGUUUCGGAUGGUGUUUGGCACCAAAUGUCGUAUUUUUUCUUGUACUAUGAAAUAGAGAAGAAAUGGAACCACUCCCGAGACAGAGUCCACUCACUGGCUUUGUCCAGGGCUCUCAGCCGUCGACGGACCAACGCCGGUCAGGGAACGUUGUGCUGAGAUGUCUUCCGUCACGCCGCUGUUUCCGGAGUCGGGAAUGAACCUCGAUGCUCGGUUCUCUUUGUUCCGCAUCUCCUCAAGGGAAAAAAAAAUUCAGGCACGAGUGUUUUCCAAACGAUUCGGGAGCCUUGCCCCCAGAACACAUCGUUUGUCCAGACACCGUGCUUCCCGAAGCCCCAUGGUGGAGAGGGCGAGACCCGUAGUGACCCGAACGGUCCCGGUAACGAGGACAAUAGGGCACUUGACUGUAAUAAAACUUUUCUCUGAGCGGUGUUGCAGGGUUUCGGGGCGGGUCGCCGACCAGUCCUUAGGAUUUAGGAUGAGAACCCCCCCUCCCCCGGUAACGGCAGUCUUCCGAUUCUCGCUACCUGACUACAGGUUCAGGAACCUAAAGCAAAUUUUGACGGUGAAUUCGACCUGAGUCAGGUCCAUGGCCCCUCACGUGGUCCUUUCCAGUCCAACAGGACCUCGCGCUCUGAUCCGAUGAACACAUGGCUGCAGCAGCGUUGUAAUGCCGAUGUAAUCUCCCUACGAUACCAGAGAAGACCUUGGUCACUCCCGAAGGAAAAAAUAAAGCAGGCACAGUAAACACCUCGGUAAAAGUUCAGAUCGGUCCGGUCUGACAGGCAUCGACCAGGAAAUCCACACUGAAGAUUAACGUGGGCCAUUAGUGGUAUGAAGGUUUAUUCAGCACCGCGCCUCAUCUGCGGGGUGGGAGGACGGCGGGCGGAGAGAGAACUGGAGGCCGAGGCCACGUCGUUUUCUUUCUGACAGCUGUCCCUACACGGAACCCUGCUUAGAUUCAUCAUGAACGGCUCUGGGGGGUCGAGCAGAAGAAUAUAAAACUUUGAGACUCGCUCGGUCUUUCCCAACACUUCCCCGGCGGCCUGAAUCGUCCGCGUUCCUGUCGGCGGCCUCAUCACGGGGCUGGUGGCAGUUCUGGUUUAAACACCUAAAACCUCUGGGCUCAGUGCGGGUCGGGGGCCAGCUGCGCCAGCUGUUCGUCGGUACACCGCGAGACCGGCUGAAUCCCCUCCAACUGGUUCGUGCGCAGAGAUUAGUUGUCGCUACACUGACCGAACAGCCGGACAACAGCCCGCUCGUUUCUACACCGCGUAGAUUAUCAGAGGUAAAACUGCCUGGGGGGGUGUUGAAAUAACAAAGACCUUAAACUGAAAGAUUUUAAAUCCUGUUUCUUGAAGUAAGCGCAACCUCAAAUUAAUGUUAAAUGACCAAAUGAUGUCCUGUAAUAUUUCCCUUGGCCCUGACCUUGAUGACCUCUAGUUCU
Long non-coding RNA from Xiphias gladius (swordfish), 1828 nucleotides. RefSeq lists it as uncharacterized. Lineage: Eukaryota; Metazoa; Chordata; Actinopteri; Istiophoriformes; Xiphiidae. The record is from RefSeq and is a predicted model, not a curated record. The transcript has 3 exons.